Non-coding RNA from Paramuricea clavata, 138 nucleotides. Lineage: Eukaryota; Metazoa; Cnidaria; Anthozoa; Malacalcyonacea; Plexauridae. The record is from the annotation of a GenBank genome assembly.
UAUCAGACUUGUUGCAAGGUUGUUCUAUCAAGUUUGAUACAGUCAUGAUACAGCAAUAUUGUUACAACCUUGUAACAUUCUUGUGAUAUCACGAGACUGCAUCAAACUUGUUGGAACAACCUUGUAACAAGUCUGAUA